This 500-nucleotide long non-coding RNA is filed under the name Malus domestica (apple). RNAcentral's name for it is "long non-coding RNA (MDOM_LNC007116)". The record is from RNAcentral. Lineage: Eukaryota; Viridiplantae; Streptophyta; Magnoliopsida; Rosales; Rosaceae.
AAAUAACUCAACCUCGUGAGAUUAUUAAUUGACAGGGGUAGUUCUUUAAUUUUUGACCUGGAUAAAUCAAGCGCUUCUAACCCCUCAAUCACUUCUGAAAUCUCUGGAAACAUCUCAAGACUGGAGCAGCCAGAAAGAUCAAAGGUUUUGAGAGAUCUCAUACAAACUUUGCUGGGUAGAAUCUUAAGUUCCAUGCAUUUUGAUAGGUUCAAAUGACUCAACCCCGUGAGAUUAUUAAUUGACAGGGGCAGUUCUUUAAUUCUUGACCCGGAUAAAUCAAGCUUUUCUAACCCCUCAAUCACUUCUGAAAUCUCCGGAAACAUCUCAAGACUCCGGCAGCCAAAAAGACCAAAGGUUUUGAGAGAUCUCAUACAAACUUUGCUGGGUAGAAUCUUAAGUUGCCCGCACAAACUCAGAUCCAAUAAAACAAUUUUUGUAAGAGCCAAAAUCGACCCGUGAACCUCAACUAAGCGUGUACAACCUUGAACAAUUAGCCUCUC